CUGUGAAUAUUCUUGCUAAUCUGAUUUUGUAAUAGUCAAGGCAGGCUAAACAUUCACUAUAUUAAGACCAUGCAUGUGUCCCCAGACCUAGUUCUUUCCCUAGGUCUAGUUUUUUAUAAAUGUUGGUGAUCAAC
RNAcentral lists this small nucleolar RNA (134 nucleotides) under Canis lupus familiaris (dog). Its description in RNAcentral is "Small nucleolar RNA SNORA72 (ENSCAFG00030018588.1)". It matches the Rfam family "Small nucleolar RNA SNORA72". From Rfam's summary of the family: U72 is a member of the H/ACA class of snoRNAs. The snoRNA gene is located in intron 4 of the ribosomal L30 protein gene in human, mouse and chicken. The record is from RNAcentral. Lineage: Eukaryota; Metazoa; Chordata; Mammalia; Carnivora; Canidae.